CCUGCCGGCGACCGGCGCACGGGUGAGUAACACGUAUGCAACCUGGCCGUGACAGAUGGAUAACCGGGAGAAAUCCCGCCUAAUACAACAUAAUGCCGGGAGGGGACAUCCCCUGCCGGCCAAAGGGGCGACCCCGGUCACGGAUGGGCAUGCGGCGCAUUAGGUAGUUGGUGGGGCAACGGCCCACCAAGCCGACGAUGCGUAGGGGUUCUGAGAGGAAGGUCCCCCACAUUGGAACUGAGACACGGUCCAAACUCCUACGGAAGGCAGCAG
Molecule: ribosomal RNA, 273 nt
Filed under: uncultured bacterium
Lineage: Bacteria
Description: partial 16S ribosomal RNA
Rfam family: Bacterial small subunit ribosomal RNA
Source: RNAcentral